Molecule: unclassified non-coding RNA, 102 nt
Organism: Otolemur garnettii (small-eared galago)
Lineage: Eukaryota; Metazoa; Chordata; Mammalia; Primates; Galagidae
Rfam family: Y RNA
About the family: Y RNAs are components of the Ro ribonucleoprotein particle (Ro RNP), in association with Ro60 and La proteins. The Y RNAs and Ro60 and La proteins are well conserved, but the function of the Ro RNP is not known.
Source: Ensembl
GGUUCAAGUGUAGUGGUGUUUGUUUAUGACUAAUUGAUGACAACCAGCUCCAGAUUCCUUUAUUCUUUCUGUACUACCACUGCUUCACUUGAGUAGCCUUAA